GCCUGGGUGGCUCAGUCAGUUAAGCAUCUGACUUCAGCUCAGGUCAUGAUCUCAUGGUUUGUGGGUUCAAGCCCCACAUCAGGCU
RNAcentral lists this transfer RNA (85 nucleotides) under Felis catus (domestic cat). It matches the Rfam family "tRNA". From Rfam's summary of the family: Transfer RNA (tRNA) molecules are approximately 80 nucleotides in length. Their secondary structure includes four short double-helical elements and three loops (D, anti-codon, and T loops). RNAcentral also lists the same sequence under 4 other names. The record is from Rfam by way of RNAcentral. Lineage: Eukaryota; Metazoa; Chordata; Mammalia; Carnivora; Felidae.